RNAcentral lists this ribosomal RNA (253 nucleotides) under uncultured bacterium. Its description in RNAcentral is "partial 16S ribosomal RNA". It matches the Rfam family "Bacterial small subunit ribosomal RNA", at positions 524 to 776 of the family's 1533-position model. The record is from RNAcentral.
CACGUAGGGCGCAAGCGUUGUCCGGAAUUAUUGGGCGUAAAGAGCUCGUAGGCGGUCUGUUGCGUCCGCUGUGAAAACUCGGGGCUUAACCCCGAGCCUGCAGUGGAUACGGGCAGACUAGAGGUAGGUAGGGGAGAAUGGAAUUCCCGGUGUGGCGGUGAAAUGCGCAGAUAUCGGGAGGAACACCGGUGGCGAAGGCGGUUCUCUGGGCCUUACCUGACGCUGAGGAGCGAAAGCGUGGGGAGCGAACAGG